GCCCACUUGUGGGUACUCGAGCGGCGAACGGGUGAGUAACACGUGAGUAAUCUGCCCUUCACUUGGGGAUAACGUCCAGAAAUGGGUGCUAAUACCCGGUACUCCUAUUGCUACGCAUGUGGUGGUGGGGAAAGGUUUUCUGGUGGGGGAUGUGCUCGCGGCCUAUCAGCUUGUUGGUGGGGUAAUGGCCUACCAAGGCUUUGACGGGUAGCCGGCCUGAGAGGGUGACCGGCCACACUGGGACUGAGACACGGCCCAGACUCCUACGGGAGGCAGCAGUGGGGAAUAUUGGACAAUGGGCGGAAGCCUGAUCCAGCAACGCCGCGUGAGGGAUGACGGCCUUCGGGUUGUAAACCUCUUUCACCAUUGACGAAGCUGCAUCUUUUUGGGUGUGGUGACGGUAGGUGGGGAAGAAGCACCGGCCAACUACGUGCCAGCAGCCGCGGUAAUACGUAGGGUGCGAGCGUUGUCCGGAAUUAUUGGGCGUAAAGGGCUCGUAGGCGGUUUGUCGCGUCGGGAGUGAAAACCUCGGGCUUAACUCGGGGCUUGCUUUCGAUACGGGCAGACUANAGGUAUGCAGGGGAGAACGGAAUUCCUGGUGUAGCGGUGAAAUGCGCAGAUAUCAGGAGGAACACCGGUGGCGAAGGCGGUUCUCUGGGCAUGAUCUGACGCUGA
This 675-nucleotide ribosomal RNA is filed under the name uncultured earthworm cast bacterium. RNAcentral's name for it is "bacterial SSU rRNA". It matches the Rfam family "Bacterial small subunit ribosomal RNA", at positions 74 to 749 of the family's 1533-position model. The record is from RNAcentral.